RNAcentral lists this long non-coding RNA (238 nucleotides) under Manihot esculenta (cassava). RNAcentral describes it as "long non-coding RNA (MESC_LNC012796)". The record is from RNAcentral. Lineage: Eukaryota; Viridiplantae; Streptophyta; Magnoliopsida; Malpighiales; Euphorbiaceae.
UGGAGGUGGUGCAACAUUUUCUGAGGUAGGGUUUUCUGGAUUUGGAUAGUAGGGUGGAGGUGGAUACAUUGGGUACUGAGAGUAUGGUGGGUAGUAUGGUGGGUAUGGCAUCUGUGUGGGAUAAGGGGUGAAACUAGGGUAAUCCGAUGUACCUCCCAUCGAAUACCCGGGAUGUGGCGAGAAAUGUGGGUAGUGAGGUGGCUGUACAAAUCCCGAGGCCUGAGUGCCUCCUUGGGAC